RNAcentral lists this ribosomal RNA (271 nucleotides) under uncultured bacterium. Its description in RNAcentral is "partial 16S ribosomal RNA". It matches the Rfam family "Bacterial small subunit ribosomal RNA", at positions 78 to 354 of the family's 1533-position model. The record is from RNAcentral.
CUUAUGCCGGCGACCGGCGGACGGGUGCGUAACGCGUAUGUAACCUACCUUUGACAGGGGGAUAACAUCGAGAAAUUGGUACUAAUACCCCAUAACAUCACCGGAGGCAUCUUCGGUGGUUGAAAACUCAGGUGGUCAGAGAUGGACAUGCGUUGUAUUAACUAGUUGGUGAGGUAACGGCUCACCAAGGCGACGAUACAUAGGGGGACUGAGAGGUCAACCCCCCACAUUGGUACUGAGACACGGACCAAACUCCUACGGGAGGCAGCAG